GGAAAGAUGAAAAGAACUUUGAAAAGAGAGUUAAACAGUAUGUGAAAUUGUUAAAAGGGUACCGUUUGGAGCCAGACUGGCUUGUCUGUAAUCAAUCUAGGCUUCGGCCUGGAUGCACUUGCAGGCUAUGCCUGCCAACGACAAUUUGACUUGAGGGAAAAAACUAAGGGAAAUGUGGCCCACUUGUGGGUGUUAUAGUCCCUUAGAAAAUACCUUGGGUUGGAUUGAGGAACGCAGCGAAUGCUUUUUGGCGAGUUUUCCAGGAAGGUUUUCUGAGGUACUACGGUAUCAAGGUUGAUCUUUUUGGUUAUACUUCUAUUCGCUUAGGUUGUUGGCUUAAUGACUCUAAAUGACCCGUCUUGAAACACGGACCA
RNAcentral lists this ribosomal RNA (374 nucleotides) under Entrophospora infrequens. RNAcentral's name for it is "LSU rRNA". It matches the Rfam family "Eukaryotic large subunit ribosomal RNA", at positions 358 to 668 of the family's 3401-position model. Lineage: Eukaryota; Fungi; Glomeromycota; Glomeromycetes; Entrophosporales; Entrophosporaceae. The record is from RNAcentral.